AGAGUUUGAUCCUGGCUCAGGACGAACGCUGGCGGCGUGCUUAACACAUGCAAGUCGAACGGAAAGGCCCUUCGGGGUACUCGAGUGGCGAACGGGUGAGUAACACGUGGGUGAUCUGCCCUGCACUUUGGGAUAAGCCUGGGAAACUGGGUCUAAUACCGAAUAGGGCCACGCGCUUCAUGGUGUGUGGUGGAAGCUUUUGCGGUGUGGGAUGGGCCCGCGGCCUAUCAGCUUGUUGGUGGGGUAAUGGCCUACCAAGGCGACGACGGGUAGCCGGCCUGAGAGGGUGACCGGCCACACUGGGACUGAGAUACGGCCCAGACUCCUACGGGAGGCAGCAGUGGGGAAUAUUGCACAAUGGGCGCAAGCCUGAUGCAGCGACGCCGCGUGAGGGAUGACGGCCUUCGGGUUGUAAACCUCUUUCAAUAGGGACGAAGCGUGAGUGACGGUACCUAUAGAAGAAGCACCGGCCAACUACGUGCCAGCAGCCGCGGUAAUACGUAGGGUGCGAGCGUUGUCCGGAAUUACUGGGCGUAAAGAGCUCGUAGGUGGUUCGUCGCGUUGUUCGUGAAAACUCACAGCUUAACUGUGGGCGUGCGGGCGAUACGGGCAGACUAGAGUACUGCAGGGGAGACUGGAAUUCCUGGUGUAGCGGUGGAAUGCGCAGAUAUCAGGAGGGACACCGGUGGCGAAGGCGGGUCUCUGGGCAGUAACUGACGCUGAGGAACGAAAGCGUGGGGAGCGAACAGGAUUAGAUACCCUGGUAGUCCACGCCGUAAACGGUGGGUACUAGGUGUGGGUUCCUUCCUUGGGAUCCGUGCCGUAGCUAACGCAUUAAGUACCCCGCCUGGGGAGUGCGGCCGCAAGGCUAAAACUCAAAGGAAUUGACGGGGGCCCGCACAAGCGGUGGAGGAUGUGGUUUAAUUCGAUGCAACGCGAAGAACCUUACCAGGGUUUGCUAGAAGUGUUGGUUUCCUGAAAGGGAUUCCUUAUUCCGCUUCUACAGGUGGUGCAUGGCCGUUGUCAGCUCGUGUCGUGAGAUGUUGGGUUAAGUCCCGCAACGAGCGCAACCCUUAUUUUUAGUU
RNAcentral lists this ribosomal RNA (1085 nucleotides) under uncultured bacterium. RNAcentral's name for it is "bacterial SSU rRNA". It matches the Rfam family "Bacterial small subunit ribosomal RNA", at positions 8 to 1116 of the family's 1533-position model. The record is from RNAcentral.